GUAGGUGAACCUGCGGAAGGAUCAUUACAAAUCAAAGGGGGAGAUAGAGCGAGAGCUCGAUCUCUCUGUAAGCACAGCCGUCGAAAGGCGGUUGAUGUUGACGCUUGUUCAGUUUGACAUAGUAACCAUAUUUUUAAUUGUAUACAACUUUUAACAAUGGAUCUCUUGGCUCUU
Molecule: unclassified non-coding RNA, 174 nt
Filed under: rhizosphere metagenome
Description: partial ribosomal RNA internal transcribed spacer region
Source: RNAcentral